RNAcentral lists this ribosomal RNA (254 nucleotides) under uncultured bacterium. Its description in RNAcentral is "partial 16S ribosomal RNA". It matches the Rfam family "Archaeal small subunit ribosomal RNA", at positions 474 to 727 of the family's 1478-position model. The record is from RNAcentral.
UACCGGCUGCUCGAGUGAUCGCCACUUUUACUGGGCUUCCAGCGUUCGUCGCUUGGUCGUUCCGUCUCUGGGGCCCUCUUUUGGCUCAACCCAACGGCGUCUCAGGGAACCUGGCGAUCUUGGCACCGGGAGAGGUAAGACGUACUUCGGGGGUAGGAGUGAAAUCUUGUAAUCCCCGAGGGACGACCGAUGGCGAAGGCAUCUUACCAGAACGGCUUCGACAGUGAGGGACGAAAGCUGGGGGAGCAAACAGG